Molecule: long non-coding RNA, 596 nt
Organism: Ornithorhynchus anatinus (platypus)
Lineage: Eukaryota; Metazoa; Chordata; Mammalia; Monotremata; Ornithorhynchidae
Exons: 2
Source: RefSeq, a predicted model, not a curated record
UGUAAUCUGGGUAAACAACGGGGCUGCCCUUCCAAUUGGGCAGGAGGGGCAGGGGUCAGCAACCCAUGCAAGGCAGGGCCCUCGGCGGCAACAUCUUCCCCUCAAAGGGCCCUGACAACCCCAAUGAGGAUGUACAAUGGAGGAACAAGACCAGGCUGCUGUGUUUUUCUGAAAGGGGCCCACACCCACCCCAGGGGAGCUGAUAGAGACACCACUGAGGCCCGCUGACACGGGGCCUGUCUCAGUGCAUACCAGCACUGCAUGGCCUGCGUGAGCCCACAUCCAUUAUUCACCACCACCCGGGCCAAAGAAAACAAAGGUCUCCUUUCACUAGGCCGGCCCGAAGCUCCUGCCUAUGGCCAGCUGUGCUUAUCUGUAGGAAAAAGUUGCCUCCAAGGACCCUCAGAUCCAUAUCUCUGCCUGUCUGGUUUUGAGGUUCAGCUCAUAGACUUUGGACUGCACAGACUGCAAACAGCCAAGACUGGGUCAGCGAUGGACUGAUGGGUCUCAAAGAUCUGAUGGUGAAGGGAUCCUUAGCGUAUUAUCUAUCACAACUUAUGUCACCUGCCUUCAACAUUUAUACGAUCUCACCUCAA